This 255-nucleotide ribosomal RNA is filed under the name uncultured bacterium. RNAcentral describes it as "partial 16S ribosomal RNA". It matches the Rfam family "Bacterial small subunit ribosomal RNA", at positions 15 to 263 of the family's 1533-position model. The record is from RNAcentral.
GAUCCUGGCUAAGGAUGAACGCUAGCGACAGGCCUAACACAUGCAAGUCGAGGGGCAUCAGGUAUCAGCUUGCUGAUACGCUGGCGACCGGCGCACGGGUGAGUAACGCGUAUGGAAUCUGUCUGUAACAGGGGGAUAACCCGGAGAAAUUCGGACUAAUACCCCAUGCCGCCGGUUUUUUGCAUGAAAGGCCGGCGAAAGGGUAACCGGUUACAGGUGAUCAUGCGUUCCAUUAGCUGGUUGGCGGGGUAACGG